This 465-nucleotide ribosomal RNA is filed under the name uncultured bacterium. Its description in RNAcentral is "partial 16S ribosomal RNA". It matches the Rfam family "Bacterial small subunit ribosomal RNA", at positions 28 to 507 of the family's 1533-position model. The record is from RNAcentral.
GACGAACGCUGGCGGCGUGCUUAACACAUGCAAGUCGUACGGUAAGGCCCUUUCGGGGGUACACGAGUGGCGAACGGGCGAGUAACACGUGAGUAACCUGCCCACAACUUUGGGAUAACGCUAGGAAACUGGUGCUAAUACUGGAUAUGUGCUCCUGCUGCAUGGUGGGGGUUGGAAAGCUCCGGCGGUUGUGGAUGGACUCGCGGCCUAUCAGCUUGUUGGUGGGGUAGUGGCCUACCAAGGCGGCGACGGGUAGCCGGCCUGAGAGGGUGACCGGCCACAUUGGGACUGAGAUACGGCCCAGACUCCUACGGGAGGCAGCAGUGGGGAAUAUUGCACAAUGGGCGCAAGCCUGAUGCAGCAACGCCGCGUGCGGGAUGACGGCCUUCGGGUUGUAAACCGCUUUCAGCAGGGACGAAGCUUUUUGUGACGGUACCUGCAGAAGAAGCACCGGCUAACUACGUG